RNAcentral lists this ribosomal RNA (501 nucleotides) under uncultured bacterium. RNAcentral describes it as "partial 16S ribosomal RNA". It matches the Rfam family "Bacterial small subunit ribosomal RNA", at positions 28 to 507 of the family's 1533-position model. The record is from RNAcentral.
GACGAACGCUGGCGGCGUGCCUAAUACAUGCAAGUCGAGCGGACCGGCUUGGGGCUUGCCUUGAUUCGGUCAGCGGAGGACGGGUGAGUAACACGUGGGCAACCUGCCCGCCAGACCGGGAUCACUCCGGGAAACCGGCGCUUAUACCGGAUAACAUCGAAGACCGCAUGGUCUUCGGUUGAAUGGCGGCCUUUGGGCUGUCACUUGCGGCUGGGCACGCGGCGCAUUAGCUAGUUGGUGAGGUAACGGCUCACCGAGGGGCCGAAGGGUAGCCGGCCGGGGUGGGUGAGCGGCCGCACUGGGAGUGAGACACGGCCCAGAGGGCUACGGGUGGCAGCAGGAGGGAUACGGGCGGAAUGGGCGGAAGACAGACGGAGAGGGGCCGCGGGAGGAUGGAGGGCCGUCGGGUCGGAAAUCUCUGUUGUGAGGGUCGAAGGAGCGUCGUUCGAAGAGGGCGGCGCAGUGACGGUACCGCACGAGAAAGCCCCGGCUAACUACGUG